AGUUUUAGAAAGAUUUAAUUUUAUUUUGUCCCUCAAAUCUGGAACAAUCAUGUCAUAACGAAGGAGUAAGUUUACAAGUUAAAUAAAAUCUUCAAGGUUAAACAAAAUUGGAAAGAACUAAUGUUAACCUCUCUAAAAAUAGGUCAUCAAGCUUUUAUUUUUAUAUAAAACAUGAAAAUCCAAUGAGAUAUUAUCUGAGACAUAUUCCAUUCUAUUUGUUUUAUCAGACAAAACCUCCAGUUAUUUUUAAGAAUCACUUUCUGAAAGUCUCCUUAAAUCCGUUAGUUGUGUUAAUGUUCCAAACACUGCCCACAUUCACAGCUGGAACUGAGGACAGCUGUUCUGAGAACACUAAGGAAAGAUCAAGUAGGUGUUAUGAAGUAGGGACCUUCAGUCCACAUAUAGCUGCAGGAGAAGGACACAGGAGGAGUAUUCAGACUCAUGCCACUCAGGCCCUGUCACAGUCUUUGGAGUAAAAAGUGGACUAAUGGUAGGCUGUGUGCCAGCCCAGUUGGGCAAAGGUUGGUAAAAGAUGUCAUUAGCUACAGUACCGUUUUCUUAUAAUACUCUUACCAUAAUAAAAUACAGAAUAUUAAUGACCAGGAGAUGCUGCUACUGAACUGAAGAUGACUGUACACAUCAUAUUAUUGGGUGGUUUUAAUUUCUAGUGUGCACUGAAGAAAUGGAAAUGGAGAUUGUUGGCAAAGGAGACUUCCCGGGAAGCAGAAUUCUCUUUUGUCUACCUGCAGAGGCCAUCAUAUACAGAUCAUUCUCCCGCCAGCGCAGAGGUGGGAGGGGACAGCUUGAGGACAGAAUCGUAAGGGCUGGAGGAUAUUUAUACUGCCCUUACAGUCAGCUCACUGGACUAGUGAAUGCCACGGUGACACUUGCUUACUCUGUUCAUUCAUUCAUUUUUAAAAAAAGUAUUGGCUAUCUAUUAUGUUGCAGGCAUAGUUGCUGCUGUUGGUGAUAAACUGUGAAUGAGACAGAGGUGCUAAUAAGAAGUACCACUGGGUUUGACACUCCCUGCUGAGAAUCUGGCGGACUCACGUAGGUAGGAUGUAAGAGGGUCUGUCUGAGAAAGAGCUGAAGGUCAAAUAGUGUGUCCUCAUUCUCCAGGCCCAGAAUCCAGAGCCCUAGAACAGGGCAGUGAAACAGAGAAUGAAAGGGACGUGGACGGUGUCUCCUCUGCCUUACUGAGGCCAACAUUCCAGACAUUGGCCACUUCCUGUCUGAGACUGCUCCAUCCGUCAUCUCAGGGAGAAGAGGGGGUAGCCUGGCCUUUCUUGCCACUGCUUGAGAAAACAGCAUAGACCAUGGCAUAGUGGGAGAUCUAGCCACAGUCUUGACGGAUCCCAUGCAACUGUGAAUAAACCUCCUUAGCAGAUGCCACAGACCCACAACUCCCAUUAGCAUGGACACAGAAUGACCAGUCCACCUCCGCUGGGCAGGGCUUAGGGCUAUCCCAAAGCUCAGAAUGGGUGGAGCAGAGGGGAAAGAGACCUCAGGCACAGGACAGUGAAGUCCAAAGGUAUGACAGGAACAGAACCACGCAAGCUGGUUAGCAGAAGUCUGGACAGAAUGAGCAAUAGUGGGUGGGGGGAUAAAAACACAUUUAGUUACCGUGGAAACCAAAACCAAGGCACAGACAUGCCUCCAUGCUGGCUUACUGCAAUGGGCUGGAUGCUCCACAGGAAGAUGAGUGAGUAGACUGGUCAGGGUCAGGGUCAGGGUCAGGGUCAUGGAUGUGGAAGAGCUCACAGACAGGGAGCCCUCACAGCCAACAGAACCACUAGCAAUCAUUUGCUCCCUGCCUUUGUUAUAAGAAAUGUGUCCUGCCAAUAAAGCUGGUUAUUAGAAGAGGGAGUUCUAAUAGCUGACUUGUGAAGCAAAACGAGCCAGCUGUCCAGGGCUCCGGGACACAAGGAUAACUUCCUAUGUCAAGUUCCCA
Molecule: long non-coding RNA, 1951 nt
Filed under: Mus pahari (shrew mouse)
Lineage: Eukaryota; Metazoa; Chordata; Mammalia; Rodentia; Muridae
Description: lncRNA (MGP_PahariEiJ_G0004355.1)
Source: RNAcentral